CCUACUACAUUCACCAUCUCUUUAUAGAGCUAGUGAUCUUUCUCAAAAGUUUAUAGCAACCCCAACAUAUCAUGGUAGUUGACUAUAGGCUUUGUCAUUCUAAAAUGACUGAGAAAUGGCAGAUAAGAUUUAGGCAUGGAGUUCAUGAUCGCAUCUUCCCUUGCUGUUCAUGCAAGGAGAAGUUGGGCUUGCUCAGUUAUUCGAUCUAUUCGAUCAUGUACAAUACAUGAUCGGUGAUCAAUGCUCUCUUUCUCAUCUGAGUAUUGAAAAUAGUACAACUAAUCUUAUGUAGCUCAACAUCAUCAAGAGUACCAAAAGAGUCUCUAAACACUUUAAGUAUGUCCUCUGGCUGAGCCUCUUUAAACUUUCAAUUAAACUUGUUGUUCAUCAAAGCCCGCAUUAUAUAAUGCACUAUGGUGGGAUCAUUAAGCCACUUCAAAUAAGUGUCUCAAACCAUGCCACGGGCAUUGGGAGCAGGCUCCUUAGGUGUCAGAUCUAUAAUGACAUACAAAAUUCACUUGUACUCCAUGAAAAUUUUAAGUUUUUGAUACCAGUUAUUGAAAUUGAGUCUCAUCAACUUCUCACC
Molecule: long non-coding RNA, 586 nt
Filed under: Elaeis guineensis (African oil palm)
Lineage: Eukaryota; Viridiplantae; Streptophyta; Magnoliopsida; Arecales; Arecaceae
Description: long non-coding RNA (EGUI_LNC018393)
Source: RNAcentral